GGGAGACAUGGUGCAUUGAGACACUGUGAUACAUAGGGACACUGUGAUACAUAGGGUCACUGGGAGACCUGGGGACACGACACUAGGGGACACUGGGAGACAUGGGGCACUGAGAAACUGAUACAUAGAACACUGAGACCUGGAGUAAUCAAAACAUGGGGGCACUGGGAAACAUGGGGGCACUGGGAGGAAUCCAUCUAUACAGCAUAAUCAAACUAAGUAGUUUUUUGGUGAUUUUACAGCAUUUUCUCUUAUGUCACUCCUUGUGAUUUACAUCAUGUGAUGUCAUCCAUACAUAUUUAAUUAUGCAAAUUAGUAAGGCCGGUAUGUUUUUCCAAGAAAGGUGGC
Non-coding RNA from Pelobates cultripes (western spadefoot toad), 348 nucleotides. NCBI's taxonomy places the organism in Eukaryota, Metazoa, Chordata, Amphibia, Anura, Pelobatidae. The record is from the annotation of a GenBank genome assembly.